UUUAAAUGGUUUAGGGUUUUUCUUGGCAAUGAGACACAACUGUUCCUGGCACACCAAUUACAUCAGAAAGGAGGAUGGGCAUUGAAGAAACUCGUUAUGGAGUUUGCUUUCAACAUUAGCAAGAUUAGUUUGAUUUUGUAACCUUUUUUUUCCUUUCCUCUCCUAAUGCCUUCAUUCACUUUUUCUCUUAUGUAAUUUUGAAGUUUGGACAUAUCCUUGCUUAUGAAGAAUAGAAAAAAUAUUUAUUAUACUGAAGAAUUCUUUAUUACAUUUUAAAGUUAUUUACUACCUAACAGGCAGUGGGAUAUUUGAUAUGCUUUUUGGAUUUUGAAUUUGAAUUUUACAAUAAAUCCUCUUUAUAUUUGUAACUGAAAGCAUCGUGUGUUUUCAUUUUGAAAAGUGAACAAACAUUCAGUUCCUUUCUCCUGGCUAAGUGAGAAGCUAGGUUCUUGACUUUUCAGAUUGCAUUAUGUGUAGGUAAUCAAUGACCUGUUUGCUUCAUUACUUACUUUCAAAGCCCUCUCAGCUUCCAGCUCUAAAUUAAUGAAUAGCCUUGUCCCAACUCACAGGGGAUCAAAUAUUUACACUCUUCCUUUUCACUUCAGCAAUCCUCCCUUAUCUAGGAUUUUUAUUUUACAAAAAAAAGAAAAAAUGGUCUUAUAUUGACACUUAGACUCGCUGACAUAUUUAGCCUGUUUAAGAACAAGGCCAUUGAACGUAAAAUAAUUUGAGAGAAAAACCACCAAUUUUCUUAGACUCAGAUGCUUCACAUGGUGUCUGAGAGGGGACUAUUUUUUUAGUAAAGGUUUUAACUCACUGUAUACAGUGUAAGAUGUUUUCUACAUUUCUAUUGAUACCAAAUAAAUGAAACACAAAGUAGAAAAGGAAGUAAAAUUUUGGCUGAAAAUUGCAGUUUUUAUUUAUUUCAAAAAAUUAAAUCAUACUCCCAAAGUAGCCAUAGAGCAUCCACUGUAGCAGUCAAAAAUGAGAUGACUAUAAUCCAGCAUAGUAAAUUAAAUACAUGGGAUUACAUAAGAUAGGGGCCUCAGUCAAGAAAGAGAAAUACUUUUUUCCUAUUUGAUUCAACUUAUUUUUUGUUUUGCAUAUAUAUUUAAAUGUUACCAUUGUUUCAGAAUGCUUGCUUACCUUGUGUCAAAACAAAAUCCCGUUCAUUUCAGUAUGAAUUGCUUUCAUUGUAAAACUAAAGCCACUUCAUUUUAGUGGCUUAAUAAUCAUUUCAAUUUCUGAAAUGUACCAGGUCCAGACUAACCUUUCGGGUCUUCAUUACAAAUGAAUGUAUCACACGUGUGUUGGAAUAGCACAGACAUGAACUUCUGAGCUAUCUCAGAUUAUGUCUAAACAAUGUGAAGAACUCUAGUAUGUUAACACCAUACAUUCAAAUUCUGUAUUUUCCUUGUAUUUCUAUAUAGUAUAGUAUUUAAUAGGUUGAGAUAGUCACACAAUAUGAAAUCCUUUUGUCACAUGAUGAGAUUAACACAAAUGAGACAGUUGGAAGAAUACAUAUAGAUUUUAUGUAAAUAUGUAGUCUAUGGUUGUUGAUGUCACAUAUAGAUUUAGUUAGAUGAAAUAGCUUGCUCCUAACUUAAUGAAGUUAAACUUCUAUUUUGAUCUUAAAGUAAUUUUGUGUAAAGGGUCACCAGUAUAUUUCUAGUCUAGAAAUCAAAAGCCCCAGUUCCUUUUUUGGAAUGACAGCGAUUCUAGAAAUUCAGCUUACUUACUUGUUCUCAAUCCAUUCCCAUUUAAAAUAAUAUAAGUAGGUUUUCAUUAAGACAGAAUAGCAAGGUCUAUGAAGAUGACUCAGGAUCAAUAGUUCUUGAUAAGCAAACAUGAGGACAUGAGUUCAAAUCCGUAGAAUCCAAGUAAAAACUGGGCUUGGCCUUAUAUGUCUCCCAUAUCCCAGUGGUGUGGUGGGAGUGUCAGAGAACAGAGGAUCAGUGGGUCUUUCUGGUUACCAACUAGCACCAGGCUCAGUAGAACAUCCUAUCUCAAUGAAUAAUAAGGGGACUGAUAGAACAGAAUACCUGGUGUUCUUGCCUCUUCAUACACAUCUUGUGUGUACACAAACAAAAAUAAAUUUAAAAACUAAAAGUAAAUAGGGAAACAGGGAAGAAAAAUACAGAAACUAACAAAUAAAAACCCACCUAAACUAAACUAAACUAAACUCAGAGGUCAGGAAGAAAGUGUAUUACUCAGCGACCAUGUAUAAUGUUUGAGUUUAUGCUCACUGUGUGGGAGAUACUUCUAGCAUGUUAUUUUAGACACAUGUGAAUAGAUUUUCUGAGAUUUGUGCUUUGGCUGGCCAGGUUACAGUUGGGUGAGCUAAACUUGUGGUUUUCUAGAAGUACCAACACAAGAACAAAUGACCAUGCCAGAAGAUGUGAACUUCAUUUAGAGAAAAUAUCUUGUAUCUGUGGAGUUGAUGUCUUAGUUCAUACAAAGCUGAGAAAUAGGAAACGUGAUUUUUCUGUAUCUCCUGAUUAACUUUGAAAUUCAUUAUAGUCGACAUGAAAAUUUUAUAUUCUAUCAAUAAUGCAACUCUCAUAAAGGCAUGUUUACAUGUAUAACCUCAGACUGCAGAUAAUCAUCUGGUAGGAGCAAAAGAUGAAAUAACAAUCAAAACGAUACACAGGAUGAGAAUUAUCAUGUCUCAUAUCUCUCUAACAUGACCUAAGGUUUCUGAACCAAAUCACACUCUACAGAAUAUGAGACUGGGUCAAUAAAUACAAAACUAAGCCAACCAGGAAACAAUAUAUAAAUAAUACAACUUUUCCACAAAUUCAUUAAAAAUUCUUAUCAGUUCAUAUUACAAUAGUUCUAGAAGUCUACCUAGUAAUACUUUUCUGUCCUUGUUUGUUUGUUUAUUCAACAAUGUUUGAGAGCUAGCCAUGUACCAGCUCUUUCACAUAGAAUAGGAACCUAGAGUGUAUUAUGAACACACUUUUCUUCCAGUUGCUGCAGAAUACUGGCUCCAGGAUGCUGUGUGAACACCAAAAUUCACGUAUGUUGCAUUAUUUUUUUUAAAACAUUAGAGUUUUUGCAUAUAAGCCAUACACUUUAUCCUGAUACUUUAUAUCAUCUCCCAGUCACUCACAGGCCUGGACAUAAAGUAAAUGUGUUAUAUUGAAGGCCAUGACAUAAGUCAAUGUUAGUGCAAUGCACAAGAUAUUAUGAAAAUGUGGGGAAAGUUCAGAGAGAAGCUGACAGAAGAAAACUGUGAAAACAUUAUGUCAAAAUAAGAGUCAAGAGAAAGGAAUAAAGGAAGAUAUUCCAGGCUUCAGGAACUCACCAUAAAAGGCUAACAAUUUAUUUAAAAGAAUGACAUGAGAAUCUAUCUAUCCAUCCAUCCAUCCGUCUUUUUCUUUCUUCCCACUUUUCUUAAAAAUAGAUUCCUUUCUCAUACAAUAAAUCUUUGUUAAAGUUUUCCCACGUCCUCUCCCAUCCAGAUCCACUACAUUUCUGUCUCUCAUUAAAAAACAACAGGUUUAUAAAAAAUAAUAACCAAACAUGAGAAAAUAAAAUGUAAUAAGAUAAAAGAAAAAUAUGUCAUCAAAUUUGGAAAGGUAAAACAAGAGGAGGAAAAGAGCUCAUGAGAAGGCACAAAAAUCAGAGACUCACUUGUUCAUGUACUUAAGAGCCACUAGGAUGCAUUAACAUGCCUACAUAGGCAUUUGCACAAUAAAGAUUAAUCAUAUGGACACUAAAUUCUCCAUGUUCAAUCUAGGUAGGGAUCACUUAACUUAAAGCCUUCCUUCAAUUUUGAGCAGUUAGUGCUUUCUCUUUCUUUUAUAAUUAUAAAAGAUUGUUUCAUUAAAUAUAACAGAAGAAAAUAAUACAACAGAUGCAAACUAUGAAGUCUUAUUACCUUAGCUGCUCACAAAUUAAGAGUAUUUCCCUGAUGCAUGAAGGUGGUGGAUUUAAAACCAUAUGUGGUGGUAUAGACCUGUAAUUCCUCCAGUCAUUGGAUUACAAGAUCAAUGACAGCAAUAGUUGGUUUUAAUAUGAUAGUAGUUUUAUAACUUAUAUCCAUAUUUUGUUUGGCUGAGAAAUCUGAAUUUUUAUAAAAGUAUCCCAAUACAUCUAAUUGAUUCUGUCAGAUGUCCAUCUUUCCAUCCCUCCAUCCCCUCAUUCUUCCCUUCUCUUCUAUAUCCUUUCUUAUUCCUCUUUAUCUUCUUAAAUUAUGAUCAGUCACUGUAGUUAUACCAGGUUCAUUCAUAAAUAAUGUCACCAGACUCAGAAAAGCCUACUUUGGGUAGAAUAUUGUCUCCCAGGGGAAGUAUUUGCACAGUGGACUGCAUUGGAGUAGUCUGUAUUAGUAAAGUGCUCUUGAGUAAAUUGUCUUUCUAAGAGUUUCCUAUUUAAGGGGUUAGAAAACUACAUAUUAUACUUGAUGAAUUUACAAAGCAGUAAAUGAAACUACCUUAUGUCAAAAACAUCCUCCCAAAAGCCUCAAAAAUAUCUAAGCCAACAGUUGUCAGAUAUCAGUCCACAAGACUCACACCAAAGACUUGCUGUAGUUCAGCACCAUGAUUCUCUUUUUGAUCAGCCCGUGGUAAGGCCAGAGUGUCUAGGAACUUCCAGGAUCUGGUGAUCCUUAUGGAGAUGACCUAGAAACCUAAGCUGUUACAAAGUGGUCUCACUUCUCAGGCUGCAGCUGUUUCCUGUGGUUUCUGUUGGAUCCAAACUUCUGAGACACCAAUGGCAGAGCUAAAGUGCACUGAGUGUGAUUUGCACACAGCACCGUUCAGGUUUUCUGAAGUGCACAUAUUGGCAACAGGAAAGCUGGAUGUAAAGCUCACAUAAGGAGAGAAUACACUCUCAAAUAAACUACUUAUGAAACUUCAUGUUUUCAAAGAUGUUGAAUUUUUUUUCAAUAUUGGGAAUUGUCAAUGUUAUCUUUUCACAAGUGCCCUCAACAGAGCACUGAGAAGGGUCCUCCUUCAAUCAGUCAGCUUUUCACACAUUAAAGGGGUAAUUCUAGAUGAAUGGAAGGAAGGCACUCAAGCCUCUGCAUCCUUCAAAUAUGACAGGCUCUGCUCUAAGUAGUUAAAUGCAACACACACUGGGCAGACUCAACUAGAAAAUUUGAAUAUAAGUGAAAUAGAUUUUAAGACUCUCUGCAAAUCCAGUUGACACCAUCCUGGCUUCUGGAGAGCUCAGAAAAUCAGAUUAAAUAUGGAAACAAGCCUGUUCCAAAAUGGUGUAUAGAAAGUGUGAAUGGUGUGGACAAAUUUUGUGGUAUCCAGUAGAACUCUGCUUGCUUACCAUGAGAGAGUGUUGCCAGGAGGGCAGAGAAACAGAGUGCCUAUAGAUGUAUGGAAAAUUUUGACUUCCAUAGAUUGUUUAUGUGUGUGUAUAUGAAACAGACUAAAAGCCAGAAAAACCAGGCCUUAGAAGUAAUAUUCUCUCCCAAGCAGUUAUGUAUACUCUUAAGUAAAAAUAAAAGAUGAGUCAGCUUCAAGCCAUUCCCAGGACUUGGAUCAACUGUCAAGGUCCUGCCAAGACCCACACCAGGAAAUCCCUGCUAACUUUUCUUGAAGGUAUAAGCAUGUGUCUGUCAGGCUGCAUGGCUCUUGGUUGCCCCCUGCAGGGGCAAGCAUUGGAAGCCUUGUUUGAGGAAGACUGCAGAGACUUGCAGACCUUAGAAAGAUGUACAGACGUAUGGCAAUAAAUUUCAAAGCCUGUCUGCCUCUUUAAGGGCCCAUCCAUUGUGGGUGAUUUAACCAGCAGGCGAUAUUUUCAGGAACCAACUUUAGUGCCUCAGAUGUGAAGGGGAGUUGCUGACUUGGGAAAAUGGAGUAAUUCAGGUCUGGGACCCACAGAAGGAUGGUCAUUAUUUUUCCCUUCCCCUUCAUAGGAAGGCUACAGCUUUGGGGGUGUGAUCCUGUGAUAAAUCACAUUGAAACGAAACAGCAUGUGUAAGCACACAUACACAAACCCUUCUCAUUUUUAUACAUUUAGUACUUAUGUGGGUGGAACUAAUGAAAAGCAGAUUGGUCAAAGCAAGCUACAAAAUCAAUUUGCAAGCACUUUCCCACUCAGAGUUUUGACAAUGCAUAGUUCUUCUCUGUUAUGUGAGGGUCUCACAGUGAUCUUUCAAAUGAGUUUUUCUUUAUGGAGGAAAUGAAGACACUUUCUGUGGGUCAUACACAAUAAUAAAAGUCACCUAUUUCUUCAAAUCAAUGCUCCCCAUGGCUUACAGUCUCAAGGCCAAUGUGAAAGAACUUUUAUAGUUCUUUUCCAUGAGGCUUUUGCUGGGAAAUAGAAAUGGUCAGCUGAAAAAGGAGGCAUGUUCCUUAGAGUGCAUCCAUAAAUUAAUAUUGAUCAACUCCUGAGGUAUUUUAUAACAUCAUGAUGACCUCACACUUUGUCAUUUCUUCCCACAUGACUAUAGCUGGAAUCUGGGAAGUUUGCUAUAUAAAUACACAUUCAAAGGCAAGACAAAGGUGGACUGGGGAGCUGGCUCAGUCAGUGAAGAGCUUUUCAAGGUCCUUCUGAGAGCCGAGUUCAAUCUCCAGAAGUCACAUUAAGUAAAGGAUUAUGGCACGCCCAUUGUAAUCCCUGUAUUAGAGACAUGAGAAUAGGUGAACUCUUAGGGACAGACAGACUAGCCCACUUCGUGAGAGACUCAGUCUCAGAAAGACAUAGAUGGACCUGAGGGACAAUAGCCAAGGCUUUUCUCAGUUUUCUAUAAGCAUGUGCACACAUGUACAUCCACAUCUACACACAUACAAGUAUGUACUCACAGAAGAGAGACUGAACAAAGAAUGUGAUCAGAUGAAUGCACAUUUUGUAUCACCACAUUUACAGAAGCAAGUUUAGAAGGAAUAUGGGAAACAUCCUAGAAAUAAAUGUAAAUAUAUACUUGUGCUUGUUGAAUACAUAUGAAAGCAUGACCAGUCAGUUGACUAUGACUGUUAUGAUAUUUGUGGGCAAAGGUAGCAUUCAUGUAUAGAUCAAUAUGUCACAUUGUUGGUUUAUUCACUGUAGGCAUGAGGAAAACUGACUGAUAAACCACCACUUUGGAGCACAGUUUCCUUGUGAAUAACAAAGUUGAGUGAUAUUAGCAUUUCAAAGUAUAUUCUAUACGAACACAAAUUUCAUUGACUAUAUACCUGGAGCCCUUGAAAGAGUUCUGCCGUGAAACAGCUGUGACAAAAUCUAUGCAAGUCACUUGAACCUCUUUAUCAUCACCAAACUUUUCAGGCUUCUGUAAAACAAGGGGCAAUGGUAGUUUCCAAGAGGUGACAUAAUUAGCCAUUUCCCUGUGACAAGCACUCUUUUUUACAAGGUAUUAUUAUACAAACACUGGAUAUGGUUAUCGCUCAUGCCUUUUGUAGCUGUAAAAUUAUAGGAACUACACUUGACAAGACAGGUUGCUGGGGGAUUGUGGAAUGAAAGCAGACAGCUAACCAUGCACUGUGGACCACAAUAGCUUUGGUUUUCCUUUCUAAAUUAUCACAGAAAAUUGCUUCUCUAUUACUUUUUUAUGUUCCUAAAGAAACAUAAAGAGGAAAAGGACACCAUUAUUAAAACGAGAAAUGACCAGAUAUUUUUAAGACAUUGCAAGUGCACCUGAUGUUAAAUGAGUAGGAUCCAAUGGAUGAGUCAUGAGCUCUCUACUCCUUCGUUAAAGGCAGCAUGUUAGCUAACUAUAAAAUUUAGACUUUUUCCUAUUUUCAACUCCACACACUACAUGCCAAGCUAGGUAGGUCUACAGCACUUUGGUUCUUCACAGCUACUGUAGAAAAAGUGAAGGAUAGAAAGGUGAGCUGGAGACUACAAGAGUUAAAGCACAAUGUAGAAAAGCUAAAUGAGAAAGAAUUUGCCUUCCGCAUUCUAAUAUACCCAAACCAAAAAGGGAAAAACACUUCUUUAUCAAGAUACAAGGAAGAAACAAACUUUCUUCCUUAAUUCUCCAAACAUUUAGUACCAUGCCUUAGCCUAAAUCUCUCUUUACCUGCUCUUGAGCAUUAAGAACAACCACAGUUUAGACCAAGUCUCUUGUUAUUUAGAAAAGACAUCAAUGCCUAAGACUAAACAUCCUAUAGUAGCCAUACCUUAGAUCUUUAGGUCUUACAACUAUAACCUUGGAAGAGUAUGGAUACUUUUGAACUGUCUGACCUUAAUCCAAGAUGAAGAGAAGCCCUUUUUAUGGACACCUACACAAAAUGCGAGCGCUCGCGCACGCGCGCGCACACACACACACACACACACACACACACACACACACACACACACACACAAACACAAUUUCUUCCAUGUUUUUUCAAUAGCAUUUUUUCUUCUUUCCAAGUACUUAACAACAUCAUAGUAGAGAUGUGUAAUGUGGUGUCUUAAGCAACCUUCUCUUGUAUCAGAGUUGAGGUAAUAAUGGGUCUGUUUUCUGUGUUUCAGAGCAUUCUACCCUAAUCAAAAUGAAUCAUAUUUCUUCUCAGUGUAAAAGCUAACAUCAAUAAUGGAGUGUUCUCAUUCUUUAUGUUUAAAAUAAUUGAAAUUUAAAUCAGUAAAAUAUACCUUCAAUAUUCUUUGUCAUACUGUUUUCUGCUUCAAAUUACAGGUAUUUCAGGGCAGCUGAGAAAUAGUUCCAGUAGUCUUUUUGCUGUUUCCCUUAGGGUUUUUUUUUAAUGUUCUUAGGAUUUUUUUCCUUGAAUGUUAUAUUGCUGUAGAGCACUGAAGUUUUGCUUUCAUGGAAACAUCACAGCCAUAAUUAUGUAUUUCUAUGUGCAAUCAUCUUUAAUGGCUCUCUCUAGAAUUAGAAUGUCAGUUCUAAGAGUAUCUGCUUUGUUUACUCCCUUGACCCCUUAGGCUAGCACCAAACCUGUCAUAUAGUAGGAUUUAAUAGAUAUUUAUUGACAAAUGUCUGAGAAAACUUUCCAGAGUUGAUUUUUUUCUCACAUAGAAGUUUUUGUUUUUCUGUUCUCAGGAUCUUACUUUGUUCAUACAAGAUAGUUAGGCUGAUCCAUGGGAAACAUGUGUGAUUAGUGUAAAAACUCUAUUUCCUCUCCUUCCAUCCUGCCAGUUCUCCGCAAACACAGGACAGGCACAGAACUAAAGCAUGUGUGGGGUUCUGAAUACAAAGCACAUGUAACUAUGACAAUCAGAAUCAUGUUGUUGUGUGUAGCUUUUUUAUGGUUGUGAUUUAUCCCCCGGCUGCCUGAGCUGGGUGUCUGGGGGAGUGUUGUACUUGUAAUUAGACAGUGAAACAGAUGUGAGGCUGUCAUUGUAAAUGAUGUUUCUAUUGUAAUGCUUCUCAUUGCUCAUCAUUUCUAUCUCACCUAUUGAAAUUCUCACUGGAAAGAUCUGGCCAUCAGGUAAUAUUCCGAAGACAGCCUGCCUUCAGUACCAGCCUGAAAUAACUCCUGCUUCAUAACACUUUUAACACAGACCCUGAAAGAGACCACCUGGACGGGAAGCCUGGGAGGAAAGAGAUGGUUGACUGCUUGGAGAAGACAGAGAAACUGAAAUCCUCUAUGGAAGAAGAGUAAAUGGGUGCUGUGUAAUAGUUUCCUCUGAGAAGAACAUCCAUCUUGAAGGGGCAUUCCUUAAAAUAUAGGAAGUCUAAAGGGAGGUGAAAUGUUCCACCCUGAAGGGAACCUGUUAAGUUCUGGAAGUAAACAGCCCAAUAGCUUCUAGAAAUCACUUAAAGUGACUAGAUUCAUUAGUUGCCUCCCUCUCCAAGACUAUAUAACCAGAAGGGAAUGCUGCAAUGCUCUCUUUGCACAGAAGAUCUACCUAGAAGAAGCAUAGACCAGCUGAGCUGCCUGGAAGAAGCCCAGACUAUAUGAGCUGCCUACAAGAAGCACAUUCUAAUUAAUUUGUUGAGCUGCCUUCAAAGAGUAGUGUGCUACAGGUUCCCAAGUUCCAGGAGCCAUUAUCACUACUAGUAUGGGCCUGAUCAUGCAGCUAUCUUUGAGUUAUUUCUGCUCCUGUAAGUAAAUCCUCACUCAUAAUUCUUUAUGUAACCCAAAUACAAGUCAGUGGUUCACCCAUAAAAUUGGACUUUGGUGGUAUGCUGA
Molecule: non-coding RNA, 10037 nt
Organism: Cricetulus griseus (Chinese hamster)
Lineage: Eukaryota; Metazoa; Chordata; Mammalia; Rodentia; Cricetidae
Source: RefSeq, a predicted model, not a curated record